RNAcentral lists this unclassified non-coding RNA (374 nucleotides) under soil metagenome. RNAcentral describes it as "partial contains 5.8S ribosomal RNA, internal transcribed spacer 2, and large subunit ribosomal RNA". The stretch from base 1 to 119 matches the Rfam family "5.8S ribosomal RNA", at positions 35 to 154 of the family's 154-position model. The record is from RNAcentral.
GAUGAAGAACGUAGCAAAUGCGAUAAGUAAUGUGAAUUGCAGAAUUCAGUGAAUCAUCGAAUCUUUGAACGCACAUUGCGCCCGCCAGUAUUCUGGCGGGCAUGCCUGUUCGAGCGUCAUUUCAACCCUCAAGACCCCUUCGGGGGACUUGGUGUUGGGGACCGGCACAGGGGCCUGCCUGCUUGUCUUGCAGCGCCCUCGCCGCCCCCGAAAUGAAUUGGCGGCCUCGUCGCGGCCUCCCCUGCGUAGUAGCACAAACCUCGCAACGGGAACGUGACGGCGGCCACUGCCGUAAAACAACCCAAUUUUAUUAGAGUUGACCUCGAAUCAGGUAGGAAUACCCGCUGAACUUAAGCAUAUCAAUAAGCGGAGGA